Molecule: ribosomal RNA, 301 nt
Filed under: uncultured bacterium
Lineage: Bacteria
Description: partial 16S ribosomal RNA
Rfam family: Bacterial small subunit ribosomal RNA
Source: RNAcentral
CAGUCGCCGCGGGAAUACGAAGGGGGCUAGCGUUGUUCGGAAUUACUGGGCGUAAAGCGCACGUAGGCGGACAUUUAAGUCAGGGGUGAAAUCCCGGGGCUCAACCCCGGAACUGCCUUUGAUACUGGGUGUCUAGAGUAUGGAAGAGGUGAGUGGAAUUCCGAGUGUAGAGGUGAAAUUCGUAGAUAUUCGGAGGAACACCAGUGGCGAAGGCGGCUCACUGGUCCAUUACUGACGCUGAGGUGCGAAAGCGUGGGGAGCAAACAGGAUUAGAGACCCCUGUAGUCCCUGUCUCUUAUAC